RNAcentral lists this ribosomal RNA (449 nucleotides) under bacterium FB2008. RNAcentral's name for it is "bacterial SSU rRNA". It matches the Rfam family "Bacterial small subunit ribosomal RNA", at positions 28 to 458 of the family's 1533-position model. The record is from RNAcentral.
GAUGAACGCCGGCGGCGUGCUUAACACCUGCAAGUUGAAAGAAGCAACUUAUUCCGAACCCUUUGGGGGGAAGAUUUGUUGAAUGAAUGGCGGGCGGGUGAGUUACGCGUGGGUAACCUACCUUGUACCGGGGGGCCACCGUUGGAAAAGACUGGUAAUUCCGCAUAAGCGCCCAACUUUGCCUGAAGCCGUGGGAAAAAUUUUUUCGGUACAAGAUGGACCCGCGUCUGAUUAGCUAGUUGGUGAGGUAACGGCCCACCAAGGCGACGAUCAGUAGCCGACCUGAGAGGGUGACCGGCCACAUUGGGACUGAGACACGGCCCAAACUCCUACGGGAGGCAGCAGUGGGGAAUAUUGCACAAUGGGCGAAAGCCUGAUGCAGCGACGCCGCGUGAGCGAAGAAGUAUUUCGGUAUGUAAAGCUCUAUCAGCAGGGAAGAUAAUGACNGA